Molecule: ribosomal RNA, 412 nt
Filed under: uncultured bacterium
Lineage: Bacteria
Description: bacterial SSU rRNA
Rfam family: Bacterial small subunit ribosomal RNA
Source: RNAcentral
AAAGGGAAGGGAGCCCGCAAGGGAAGCCGGCACAGGUGGUGCAUGGCUGUCGUCAGCUCGUGUCGUGAGAUGUUGGGUUAAGUCCCGCAACGAGCGCAACCCUCACCCUCUGUUGCCAUCGGGUCAUGCCGGGCACUCUGAGGGAACUGCCCCGGUCAACGGGGAGGAAGGCGGGGACGACGUCAAGUCAUCAUGCCCCUUACGCCCUGGGCUACACACGUGCUACAAUGGCCGGUACAGAGGGCUGCAAACCCGCGAGGGGGAGCUAAUCCCACAAAGCCGGUCUAAGUUCGGAUUGCAGGCUGCAACUCGCCUGCAUGAAGGAGGAAUCGCUAGUAAUCGCGCAUCAGCACGGCGCGGUGAAUACGUUCCCGGGCCUUGUACACACCGCCCGUCACACCACGAAAGCCGG